CUUGCUUCUUUGUUUCCCCAGAA
This 23-nucleotide microRNA is filed under the name Mus musculus (house mouse). Its description in RNAcentral is "mmu-miR-7231-3p". Lineage: Eukaryota; Metazoa; Chordata; Mammalia; Rodentia; Muridae. The record is from miRBase by way of RNAcentral.